Molecule: long non-coding RNA, 526 nt
Organism: Phyllostomus discolor (pale spear-nosed bat)
Lineage: Eukaryota; Metazoa; Chordata; Mammalia; Chiroptera; Phyllostomidae
Exons: 2
Source: RefSeq, a predicted model, not a curated record
GGUCUUUCAACUGAUCCUUUGCCACCUGUACAAAGCCCUGGGUCCCAGAGGCCUUGUGGGUUUGUGCAGGAGAAAGGGCUGCAUGGGUGGAUCCGUAGCACUGUGGUCAUUCCAAGGCCAAGUGGAAGUCCCAGAUGAGCUGCCCUGUUCCUGUCUGUCUGGGUUACACGUUAGACCUGUAGAAGAGCACGGAAAGCCAGAAGGGAGAAACAGCCUGUGUUCCUGAUCACCUAGUGAGAAAAUCCAGACCCUUCUGCUCCUGCAGGCUCCCUGGGAGGGUGGACUCUGACUGGCUCUGAGAGAGAAGCCCUGUCAGGGACAAGGUUACUGAGAAAUCUGCUCCACCCUCCCUAUCCUCCUGGAAGAAGAUCUGACCUCUGUCCCGGCUGCCCUAAUGAUCCCCAGAUCAGCACCCCACGUCCAGGAGAGGGGCAGCAGCUGAACGCCUCUCCAGGCUCUGAUGUCCUCAGAGCACAGAAACACCACAUGGACUGGAGCAGACCUGCAGCUAUGUGACUUGGUCGAA